Molecule: long non-coding RNA, 1192 nt
Filed under: Calidris pugnax (ruff)
Lineage: Eukaryota; Metazoa; Chordata; Aves; Charadriiformes; Scolopacidae
Description: lncRNA (ENSCPUG00000003696.1)
Source: RNAcentral
AUGUCCAGGGCCUGGGGACAGCCUGGGAAUGUCCCUGUGGUGCUCUCCUGGCUCAGGUGCCUGCACGGGCAGAAGCUGGUGACCAUGUCUGUCCAACACCGGAGAGGGGUGUCUACUCUCCAGCUUACCAUCCCAGCUCCCGUCCUGGAGGAUGAGAUGGAGGAGGAAGAGGUCUACGUGCACUGCCUGCUGACAGCGUGGGGCCCCGUGGGCACCCGGGGACAUGGCACCAGGUCCUGCUUCUACAGCCAAGCCACAGACAGGUACGCUCAGCCCUGGCACAGGCUCCCUCAUGGUGGCCCAGGACCCAACCACCCAUGGCUGCUUUGGGAGCAGAAGCCACCGGGCAGGGGGACCAAGCCACCCCACUGUGGUCUAGAUGCCACCUCUACCCCUGAUAGCAGGGUAGCAUCACUGCACAUCCCAGCUCUGGUGGGCCCCUCUGGGUGCAGGUGCACUGGGGAGGUGCUGAUGGGAGAUAAAAGACCCCUUUGGGGUGGCCAAGACCUGCAGAGCUGGAGGGACCUGCUGGCAUGGCACCAUAUGGGUCUUGAGGGGGAACCCCUGGAUCCCCAAGCUCUGUCCUCUCCUCGCAGCUGGCACAAUGCAGAGGACCCUUCGCAGAGCGCCCUGUGCCACUGCUGUGACACCGGCUGUCCCCCCGGUGACACCCUCCCCGGAGAGCUGCCAGGUACCAGGGAUGGGAUGGGAUGGCCCCAUGUGAUCUUGGGGGGCUACUGGGUCUGGGACAGGCUUUAUGGGCUGUGUCCUUCUGCAGGGUUCCCAGGAGAGGGGACACCCCACUGGGAGACAGUUGGACCAUUGCUGGUGCAGAAGGAGAAGGUGCCAUGGUACGAAGGUGAGCGGACAACCCCAAAUGUCACCCCAUGGCCCCAAAGCCACCAUCCCAGGUGUCGAAGCGACCUCUGAACCCCUUAUUUUGUCUUUCUCUGCCGUCCCCAGAGCCGUGCCGCACAGUGAAGAGGUUCCUGUUGGCCGGGCUGGCCCUGGUGGGCAGCGCCCUGGUGGCAGCCACCCUGGUGGGGGGUCUGCUGGGGCUGGCCUUGGCUGCGUGGCGCCUGGGCGGGCGCCGGCGGAGACAGCGGCGGCUGAGGCGGCAGUGUCCCUUCCACGCCGAGCUGCGGAGCGUGGUGAAGGCUUUGGCCCCCAGGGAGAUGAAGAAAGGAGGUGA